UACAGAGGUCUCAAGCGUUGUUCGGAUUCAUUGGGCGUAAAGGGCGCGUAGGCGGCCAGCGCAAGUCAGUUGUGAAAUCUCCGGGCUUAACUCGGAACGGUCAACUGAUACUGCGCGGCUAGAGUGCAGAAGGGGCAACUGGAAUUCUCGGUGUAGCGGUGAAAUGCGUAGAUAUCGAGAGGAACACCUGCGGCGAAGGCGGGUUGCUGGGCUGACACUGACGCUGAUGCGCGAAAGCCAGGGGAGCGAACGGG
This 254-nucleotide ribosomal RNA is filed under the name uncultured bacterium. RNAcentral's name for it is "partial 16S ribosomal RNA". It matches the Rfam family "Bacterial small subunit ribosomal RNA", at positions 524 to 776 of the family's 1533-position model. The record is from RNAcentral.